UCAUCAACAACUUUCCUCUAGGAUUACUACUGUUCAAUACCACCAUUUCAGUUUGAUGAGAAUGAAAUUGAACAUAUUUUUCGCUACCACAGCAGGGAAGCAUCUCAAAACUUGCUAAGAGCAUUUGAAGAUGAGGAAAAGAAAAAUGCUCCAAUAGUGAAAAAGCAAAAUGUUCCAGGAGUGGAAAAGCCUGAGCGUCACAAAAUUACUUUAACUGAACCAACUGCUUUAAUUCCAGCUCAGCCAUCUGUAUCAGAAGAGAUCCUAAUUGACGUGUCACCUGGCUCAUACAUAAUCAAUACAACUUCAUAUGAUGACACAAUCAAAGAAGCACAUCUAGUAAAUGUUCAGCCAGGAAAAAGUGUAAAUCUGGUUUUUAAUUUAUCUCCUUCUAAAGGCA
This 400-nucleotide long non-coding RNA is filed under the name Notechis scutatus (mainland tiger snake). RNAcentral's name for it is "lncRNA (ENSNSUG00000018446.1)". The record is from RNAcentral. Lineage: Eukaryota; Metazoa; Chordata; Lepidosauria; Squamata; Elapidae.